This 487-nucleotide long non-coding RNA is filed under the name Pandoravirus dulcis. Its description in RNAcentral is "putative ncRNA". The record is from RNAcentral.
GCCGCGAUGGCGAACCGCGUUGCCGGGCGGCGGCGCCGGUGAGACCAUGUUGUCGGCGCUGCGAGGCAUCACCGCAGCGUUGUCUGACAAGGCGGGUGCCCCGUCGUCACCGUCUGAUGACGCCGCGUCGGCAUCGCGCGGAAAAGUAAAGGGCGCCAACGUCGACGCAACUCCCCACACGAAAUCGCCUACGGCCGCCAGAGGGUUCCAGGGCGACGAUCCCAUGACGUCGCGUCGGUUUCGUUGAUCGUGUCUGUCGGCCAUGAGAGGCGUGGCUCUAUCGAUGCGCCGGGUGUGUAUGUGUAUGCGACGAAAAAAAAAAGUACAGGCAGUCGGAAAGGCGACAUAAAAAAGGAUGGACAAUCAAACAUCCGCGUUGCCGUUGGCGCGUUUUUCCUGUCUCUCUUCAUUGCGUGCUCGGGGCGUCUUUCUGUUGACCAGAAAAAAAAAGAAAACUCGGAAAAAAAGCCGACGGCAAACACUGGCG